Molecule: ribosomal RNA, 1436 nt
Filed under: uncultured Bordetella sp.
Lineage: Bacteria; Pseudomonadati; Pseudomonadota; Betaproteobacteria; Burkholderiales; Alcaligenaceae
Description: partial 16S-23S ribosomal RNA intergenic spacer
Rfam family: Bacterial small subunit ribosomal RNA
Source: RNAcentral
GGUUCGAUGGCUCCAGAUUGAACGCUGGCGGGAUGCUUUUACAUGCAAGUCGAACAACGGCACGGACUUCGGUCUGGUGGCGAGUGGCGAACAGGUGAGUAAUGUAUCGGAACGUGCCUAAUGUGGGGGAUAACUACGCGAAAGCGUAGCUAAUACCGCCGCCUUCAAGAAAAAGCGGGGGACCUUCGGGCUCGCACUAUUAGAGCGGCCGAUAUCGGAUUAGCUAGUUGGUGGGGUAACGGCUCGCGCAAAACGACGAUCCAUGGCUGGUUUGAGGGACGACCAGCCACACUGGGACUGGAGACCUGGCCCAGACUCCUACGGGAGGCAGCAGUGGGAAUUUGGACAAUGGAAACCUGAUCCAGCCAUCCCGCGUGUACGAUGAAGGCCUUCAGGUUGUAAGCACUUUUGGCAGGAAAGAAACAGCUGGGAUAAUACCCCGUACUGCAACUGACAGUACCUGCAAGAAUAAGCACCGGCUAACUUGCGUGCUGACAGCCGCGUUAAUACGAGGGUGCAAGCGUUAAUCGGAAUUACUGGGCGUAAAGCGUGCGCGAGCGGUUCGGAAAGAAGAUGCGAAAUCCCAGAGCUUAACUUUGGAACUAACACCAUUACCGGUGGUGUCAUCAGAGGGAGGUGGAAUUCCGCGUGUAGCAGUGAAAUGCGUAAUAGUGCGGAGGGAACACCGAUAGCGGCUGUCUGGAUCGUUGCAGCGGCACUCAUGCCUGGCCCUGAUGGGAGCAAGCAGUUAGAUGCCCCUGGUAGUCCGCCUAAACGAUGUCAACUAGCUGUUGGGGCCUUGAGCCUUGGUAGCACAAUGUUCGCGUGAAAUUGACUACCUGAAGUGCAGUCGCAAGAUUAAAACUCAAAGGAAUUGACAGGGACCACUGGCGGUGGAUGAUAUUGGAUUAAUUCAGGCCGCGCGAAAAACACCCUGCUGCCGACAUGGAGUCCGAAGGGGGCGGGUGCUCGCAGAGAACCGGAACACGGGUACUGCCUUAGCUGUCGUCAGCUCAACCGUGGAUGUUGGGUUAAGUCCCGCAACAAUGCAACCAUGUCAUUUGAGUUGCUACGAAAGGGCACUCUAAUGAGACUGCCGGUGACAAACCGGAGGAAGGUGGGGAUGACGUCAAGUCUCGGCACUUGUGGGUAAGACUUCACACGUCAUACAAUGGGUAAGGACGAGAAGAUCGCCAACCCGCGAGGGGCCAAUCCCGAAACCCGAUCGUAGUCCGGAUCGCGGUCUGCAACUCGACUGCGUGAAGUCGGAAUCGCUAGUAAUCGCGGAUCAGCAUGUCGCGGUGAAUACGUUCCCGGGUCUUGUACACACCGUUGUCCCCACCACUUAGGAGUGGGUUGCAGGACUGGUUAACCUAACCGUAAGGAGGCGAUUGUUCCCGGUAAGUUCAUGACUGGGUGAAGUCGUAACAAAGUGG